This 1068-nucleotide long non-coding RNA is filed under the name Anolis carolinensis (green anole). Its description in RNAcentral is "lncRNA (ENSACAG00000044376.1)". Lineage: Eukaryota; Metazoa; Chordata; Lepidosauria; Squamata; Anolidae. The record is from RNAcentral.
AUGCAAAAGUUUGAAUUUCACAUAAUGGCUUUCAAAUUUUUGUUUGACAAAGGCCACACCAAAAUAAUAAUAAUAAUAAUAAUAAUAAUAAUAAUAAUAAUAAUAAUAAUAAUAAUAAUGUUGACAAGCUAUGGACUUGUCAACACCAGGAGAGGAAUUUUCCAGGGAGACUCAUUGUCCCCUCUGCUUUUCAUUAUUGCCAUGAUCCCUCUGUCAAUAAUCUUACAAAAAACAAAUCUCGGCUACCAAACAUCUAAGAAUUCUCACAAAAUUUCGCAUCUGAUGUACAUGGAUGACCUGAAGCUGUAUGGAAAAACGGAAACUGAAAUCCAGUCUCUGACUAACACUGUCCGAAUUUUUAGCACUGAUAUCAGCAUGGAGUUUGGCUUGGACAAAUGUUCGACAGUGGCAUUGAAGAAGGGAAAAAUCAUUGAAAGUGAGGGCAUAAAUAUACCUAAUGGCCAAACAAUAAAGUGUCACCAGCCAGAGGCCUAUAAAUAUCUGGGCAUAUUACAGCUGGACAACAUCAAGCAUGAACAUGUGAAGACUGUGGUCAGUAAAGAAUACACACAAAGGGUCAGAAAAAUUCUCAAAAGCAAGCUCAAUAGAGGCAACACCAUCAAGGGCAUAAACACCUGGGCCAUACCUGUCAUAAGAUAUACUGCUGGCAUUAUAAACUGGACACAGGUGGAACUGGACAAUUUGGACAGAAAAACAAGAAAACUCAUGACCAUUCAUCAUUCACUGCACCCUCACAGUGAUGUUGACCGGCUAUAUCUGCCUAGAAGAUCAGGGGGCAAAGGACUCUUACAAGUAAAACAAGCAGUCAAAGAAGAAGAACAUGCCCUGGCAGAAUAUGUAAAGCAAAGUGAAGAACCUGCUUUGAUUGAAGUCAAAAAUCAGAAACUCCUCAAAGCACAGCAGACAAAAACCAGUACAAGAAAACCACACUACAAACUAGAGCUGACAGCUGGCACAACAAAACAUUGCAUGGAAAGUUCCUUGACAAAACUGAAGGAAAAGCUGAUAAGGAGAAGACCUGGCUCUGGCUCACGAAUGGGACCCUGA